CGAAAUUUUGAUAAGAUUUGAAUAAUUAAUUCAUAUAUUUGUUUUUUUUUAUGAUUCGUAGCCGUAGGUAGUACUUUUCUUUAGUUCUAUUUCAUUUGUUCAAGGUCGGACUAGGCGCAUUUAUCUCUAUCAUAAAACUGGGUUUUAGGCAGUUCAAAGUAAAAUAAUGAACACGCACGUGUACAUGGUAUAUGUCCAAUCUUUUUCCCAAUAACCGAAUUCACGGUGGGUGAGGUUGUCCUGCGAGAGAACGUUCUGUGCUGGUGAUUCGGUCCUGACUGGUGCUGGAGAUCAUUAAAAA
RNAcentral lists this long non-coding RNA (301 nucleotides) under Mytilus galloprovincialis (Mediterranean mussel). The record is from RNAcentral. Lineage: Eukaryota; Metazoa; Mollusca; Bivalvia; Mytilida; Mytilidae.